CAGCCGCCACGGGAAUACGGAGGGUGCAAGCGUUAAUCGGAAUUACUGGGCGUAAAGCGCACGCAGGCGGUUUGUUAAGUCAGAUGUGAAAUCCCCGAGCUUAACUUGGGAACUGCAUUUGAAACUGGCAAGCUAGAGUCUUGUAGAGGGGGGUAGAAUUCCAGGUGUAGCGGUGAAAUGCGUAGAGAUCUGGAGGAAUACCGGUGGCGAAGGCGGCCCCCUGGACAAAGACUGACGCUUAGGUGCGAAAGCGUGGGGAGCAAACAGGAUUAGAUACCCCGGUAGUCCCUGUCUCUUAUAC
Molecule: ribosomal RNA, 301 nt
Filed under: uncultured bacterium
Lineage: Bacteria
Description: partial 16S ribosomal RNA
Rfam family: Bacterial small subunit ribosomal RNA
Source: RNAcentral